RNAcentral lists this ribosomal RNA (253 nucleotides) under uncultured bacterium. Its description in RNAcentral is "partial 16S ribosomal RNA". It matches the Rfam family "Bacterial small subunit ribosomal RNA", at positions 524 to 776 of the family's 1533-position model. The record is from RNAcentral.
UACGGAGGGUGCGAGCGUUGUCCGGAAUCACUGGGCGUAAAGGGCGCGUAGGCGGCCUGAUAAGUAGGGGGUGAAAUCCUGCGGCUUAACCGCAGGGCUGCCUUCUAAACUGUCAGGCUGGAGCACAGUAGAGGCAGGUGGAAUUCCCGGUGUAGCGGUGGAAUGCGUAGAGAUCGGGAAGAACAUCAGUGGCGAAGGCGGCCUGCUGGGCUGUUGCUGACGCUGAGGCGCGACAGCGUGGGGAGCAAAGAGG